CAACAGGGAUUGCCCCAGUAACGGCGAGUGAAGCGGCAAAAGCUCAAAUUUGAAAUCUGGCUCUUCGGGGUCCGAGUUGUAAUUUGUAGAGGAUGCUUCGGGUGUGGCCACGACCUAAGUUCCUUGGAACAGGACGUCAUAGAGGGUGAGAAUCCCGUCUUGGGCCGUUGGUCCACGCCCGUGUGAAGCUCCUUCGACGAGUCGAGUUGUUUGGGAAUGCAGCUCUAAGCGGGUGGUAAAUUUCAUCUAAAGCUAAAUAUUGGCCGGAGACCGAUAGCGCACAAGUAGAGUGAUCGAAAGGUUAAAAGCACCUUGAAAAGGGAGUUAAACAGCACGUGAAAUUGUUGAAAGGGAAGCGCUUGCGGCCAGACUCGAGCGCAGGGUUCAGCGGGUGCGUGUCACCCGUGCACUCCCUGUCGCCCGGGCCAGCAUCAGUUCUAACGGCCGGUCAAAGGCCCCCGGAAUGUGUCGUCUCUCGGGACGUCUUAUAGCCGGGGGUGCAAUGCGGCCCGUCGGGACUGAGGAACGCGCUUCGGCUCGGAUGCUGGCAUAAUGGCCGUAAGCGGCCCGUCUUGAAACACGGACCAAGGAGUCUAACAUCCACGCGAGUGUUCGGGUGUCAAACCCGUGCGCGCAGUGAAAGCGAACGGAGGUGGGAGCCUUAGGGCGCACCAUCGACCGAUCCUGAAGUCUUCGGAUGGAUUUGAGUAGGAGCGUGGCCGUUGGGACCCGAAAGAUGGUGAACUAUGCCUGAAUAGGGUGAAAGCCAGAGGAAAACUCUGGUGGAGGCUCGCAGCGGUUUCUGACGUGCAAAUCGAUCGUCAAAUUUUGGGCAUAGGGGCGAAAGACUAAUCGAA
Molecule: ribosomal RNA, 857 nt
Filed under: Arthroderma uncinatum
Lineage: Eukaryota; Fungi; Ascomycota; Eurotiomycetes; Onygenales; Arthrodermataceae
Description: LSU rRNA
Rfam family: Eukaryotic large subunit ribosomal RNA
Source: RNAcentral